AGGGGGUAUUGCACCUACAGACGUCUAUCAAGCUCCGACGGUCGUCAGAGUAUACUUGGUAGUCAGACUGUGGGUGGUAAGCUUCAGAGUCGAAAGGGAAAAAGCCCAGAGCGUCAGCUAAGGUCCUUAAAUGGAAGUUACGUCGUACAGGAUGUGGGAUUGCCUAGUUAUCUAGGGUG
Molecule: ribosomal RNA, 179 nt
Filed under: Clostridioides difficile
Lineage: Bacteria; Bacillati; Bacillota; Clostridia; Peptostreptococcales; Peptostreptococcaceae
Description: partial 23S ribosomal RNA
Rfam family: Bacterial large subunit ribosomal RNA
Source: RNAcentral